RNAcentral lists this small nuclear RNA (156 nucleotides) under Carlito syrichta (Philippine tarsier). Its description in RNAcentral is "U1 spliceosomal RNA (ENSTSYG00000023625.2)". It matches the Rfam family "U1 spliceosomal RNA". Rfam says of the family: U1 is a small nuclear RNA (snRNA) component of the spliceosome (involved in pre-mRNA splicing). Its 5' end forms complementary base pairs with the 5' splice junction, thus defining the 5' donor site of an intron. Lineage: Eukaryota; Metazoa; Chordata; Mammalia; Primates; Tarsiidae. The record is from RNAcentral.
AUACUUAUGUGGCAGGGGAAAUACCAUGAUCACGAAGUUGGUUUUCCCAGGGUGAGGCUUAUUUAUUGUACUCUGGAAGUGCUGACCCCUGCAAUUGCCCCAAAUGUGGGAAACGCGACUGCAACUUGUAGUGGUAAGAGACUGUAUGCUCUCUCC